UAGGGAAUCUUCCGCAAUGGACGCAAGUCUGACGGAGCAACGCCGCGUGAGUGAAGAAGGAUUUCGGUUCGUAAAACUCUGUUGUUAGAGAAGAACAGCGCAUAGAGUAACUGUUAUGCGUGUGACGGUAUCUAACCAGAAAGCCACGGCUAACUACGUGCCAGCAGCCGCGGUAAUACGUAUGUGGCAAGCGUUGUCCGGAUUUAUUGGGCGUAAAGCGAGCGCAGGCGGUCAAUUAAGUCUGAUGUGAAAGCCCCCGGCUCAACCGGGGAGGGUCAUUGGAAACUGGUUGACUUGAGUGCAGAAGAGGAGAGUGGAAGUCCAUGUGUAGCGGUGAAAUGCGUAGGUAUAUGGUGGAACACCAGUGGCGAAGGCGACUCUCUGGUCUGUAACUGACGCUGAGGCUCGAAAGCGUGGGUAGCAAACAGG
This 429-nucleotide ribosomal RNA is filed under the name Bacteroidota bacterium. RNAcentral describes it as "Bacteroidetes bacterium partial 16S ribosomal RNA". It matches the Rfam family "Bacterial small subunit ribosomal RNA", at positions 355 to 776 of the family's 1533-position model. Lineage: Bacteria; Pseudomonadati; Bacteroidota. The record is from RNAcentral.